This 511-nucleotide ribosomal RNA is filed under the name uncultured bacterium. RNAcentral describes it as "partial 16S ribosomal RNA". It matches the Rfam family "Bacterial small subunit ribosomal RNA", at positions 28 to 523 of the family's 1533-position model. The record is from RNAcentral.
GACGAACGCUGGCGGCGUGCCUAAUACAUGCAAGUAGAACGCUGAAGGGAGAGCUUGCUCUUCUGGAUGAGUUGCGAACGGGUGAGUAACGCGCAGGUAACCUGCCUGGCAGCGGGGGAUAACUAUUGGAAACGAUAGCUAAUACCGCAUAACAGCAAAUGUUGCAUGACAUUUGCUUAAAAGGUGCAAUUGCAUCACUACCAGAUGGACCUGCGUUGUUUUAGCUAGUUGGUGGGGUAACGGCUCACCAAGGCGACGAUACAUAGCCGACCUGAGAGGGUGAUCGGCCACACUGGGACUGAGACACGGCCCAGACUCCUACGGGAGGCAGCAGUAGGGAAUCUUCGGCAAUGGACGGAAGUCUGACCGAGCAACGCCGCGUGAGUGGAGAAGGUUUUCGGAUCGUAAAGCUCUGUUGUAAGGGAAGAACGAGUGUGAGAGUGGAAAGUUCACACUGUGACGGUAUCUUACCAGAAAGGGACGGCUAACUACGUGCCAGCCGCCGCGGUAA